Molecule: ribosomal RNA, 429 nt
Filed under: Chloroflexota bacterium
Lineage: Bacteria; Bacillati; Chloroflexota
Description: Chloroflexi bacterium partial 16S ribosomal RNA
Rfam family: Bacterial small subunit ribosomal RNA
Source: RNAcentral
UGGGGAAUAUUGCACAAUGGGCGCAAGCCUGAUGCAGCCAUGCCGCGUGUAUGAAGAAGGCCUUCGGGUUGUAAAGUACUUUCAGUCGGGAGGAAGGUGGUAAGGUUAAUAACCUUAUCAAUUGACGUUACCGACAGAAGAAGCACCGGCUAACUCCGUGCCAGCAGCCGCGGUAAUACGGAGGGUGCAAGCGUUAAUCGGAAUUACUGGGCGUAAAGCGCACGCAGGCGGUUUGUUAAGUCAGAUGUGAAAUCCUCGGGCUCAACCUGGGAACUGCAUCUGAUACUGGCAAGCUUGAGUCUCGUAGAGGGGGGUAGAAUUCCAGGUGUAGCGGUGAAAUGCGUAGAGAUCUGGAGGAAUACCGGUGGCGAAGGCGGCCCCCUGGACGAAGACUGACGCUCAGGUGCGAAAGCGUGGGGAGCAAACAGG